RNAcentral lists this ribosomal RNA (460 nucleotides) under uncultured bacterium. RNAcentral describes it as "partial 16S ribosomal RNA". It matches the Rfam family "Bacterial small subunit ribosomal RNA", at positions 338 to 795 of the family's 1533-position model. The record is from RNAcentral.
CCUACGGGCGGCAGCAGUGAGGAAUAUUGGUCAAUGGGCGCGAGCCUGAACCAGCCAAGUCGCGUGAGGGAUGACGGUCCUACGGAUUGUAAACCUCUUUUGCCGGGGAGCAAGCGUGCGUUCGUGAACGCGCGUCGAGAGUACCCGGAGAAACAGCAUCGGCUAACUCCGUGCCAGCAGCCGCGGUAAUACGGGGGUUGCGAGGGUUAUCCGGAUUUCUUGGGUUUAAAGGUUGCGUAGGCGGGGUGCCAAGUCAGCGGUAAAAGUGCGGGGCUCAACGCCGUCGGGCCGUUUAAACUGGCGUUCUUGAGUGGGCGAGAAGUAUGCGGAAUGCGUGGUGUAGCGGGGAAAUGCAUAGAUAUCACGCAGAACUCCGAUUGCGAAGGCAGCAUACCGGCGCCCUACUGACGCUGAGGCACGAAAGCGUGGGUAUCGAACAGGAUUAGAUACCCUGGUAGUC